CUACCUUAUUUCCUCCAUUGCCGGUUCGUGGACUACCUCUUCAGGACACGCCGAAUACAUCCUCUCCUUCACCAGCUGGUAGUCUCGCCCUUCAAUCAUGCCACUAACAAAUAAAAGGAGAAAACUAUGAUCAAGUUGAUAAGUCUUACGACUGUAUGUGAGGAAAGCAAAUAAUUCAUGCUUGUCAAUACCAUAGUGUACAAUUCUAGCAGAAAGCACAUCAUCAUUCUGGAAGAAAAUAGGUGGAAGCAUAAGAAAGCAAUUAAACAAUCUCUUCAGAGGCACUCACAUGGUAAAAUCCAAAACAUCGAAAGCAAUAUAUUAUUUUUGCGAAAUGUACAGGAUUCAAGAAACUGAGUACCAUCAAAAGUAGUCUGCUAUCCAUAUCCAGAACUCCAAUUCUUACAUACUUGCUAAAAGUUUUAUUGGUUGAGAUCAUUUUUGGAUCACCCACCAGCAAGUAUGCAUGAUUCAUAUGUGAAGAGAAACUGACAAUUACAACCAAUAACCAAUUAGCCAACACAUGAAAAACUAUCCUAAACCACUAUGACUACUAUUCACCAAUACCAUAGAUGAUAGCACUAUGCUAUCAGUUUCUUCAUGAUUCACCAUAUAAAAAGAUUAUACCUCUUCUACAUAGCAGCACAAGAUGUUUACACAAGGAAGGAAAAGAGUAAGUUUAAUUUCUUUUCACCUAUUUCUUAUCAAUGGAGAUGGAAAGUGCUCUAGUCUAUUUUUAAUGUUUUAUCUUGUCCACCUAUUUGUAGAUAGGCCUUUUUGUAACAUGACAACCUGAAAUUUAUUAAGAGACAUGAAACUUUUAUUAUAUGAUCGAAAGAACAAAAGUUAGUAAAUAUUUGUUACAAGUACCUGGCAGGAACAAGUGCAGCCUCAGUCUUUUUCAGAAGGCUAGUACAUAUUACAAACCAGGAAACGAUUGUUGAAAUAUGUGCUAUGAUGCAGUUUCUGAAACACGGUUUCAUGGUUGGCCAUGAUAAGUGUCAAAUGUUUUCUCCUUUUUAUUCGGGGUCCAUUAGGGUCAUAGCUGAUGGUACCUUAUAAACAAAAUUUUCAGAAUAGAUUGCAGCUUGUAUAAGAUAGACAGGUUUAGUUAGUAUCAUAUUUAAUCGAAAAGCAAAAUAAUCAUUUAACUAUUUACAUGUCUAGAUCCAAGGUUUGAGAAAUCAAUAAAGUGCCCUCCCUAGAAAUCACAGUGGAAGCAAGUAAAUAACCCAAGCUUGGUGUCGCACCACAAUAAAGAGGAUCAUAAAGGAAAAAAAUAGAGGGUCAUACAGAAUAAUCAGGAAUCUGUACACACAACUUACUACAGUUUACUCAUGCUUCAGAAUCAAUCAACAUGCUUAAUGCCGCACCACAAUAAGUAGCACAUGGAUAUUCUAACUCACAGGACAACCUAUAUAAUGUCAUCUUGCCUUGCAUUUGCCCUCUCAUUGCAUCGACCACCAAGGUAACAUAAAAAAGCACGCCAACCAAGAUAAACCAAAUCAUGGACUUGGACAGGAAAAUCAAAGAGAGGGAAAACCUAUGGAUGGGUUAGAUAGCAAGUCGCUCGCGAGGGCGCCCAGGUCUAGCCGACAACACCCGGCCCCACACACAGUUCGGAAGCACUCUAGCACAUAAUCAGAUGGCAUGAAAGUACCAACAACGACCAACCAAACCGAAUAAUCCACAUGAAUGGUUGUGAAUGAAGGCAGAAUCAUAUGCAUCUCACAACUAACAAAUUUAACUGAUAAUUCAAGAUACUAAAGAUCUGCUCUACAUUUUCGACGGUGAAAAUAGUAAAGAUCUCGAAUGCAAUAAAACAACAAGGAAGCAAACAAGUUGCACAUGAUUUAAAUUACGUCGCGUAACUUCUAAAGUUUUCCCUUUAUAUGACAACCUUCGUCCCAGCAAGAGUCAUUACAGUAUUUAGAUAUCUUGUAUAAAAAAGAUCAAGAACUAAAAACUACAUUCGGCAAGACAUCCUCUCUACAAAAGGAAAUUCCCAGAGCAAACAUUAGCCGAUUCAGUGCAUAUCUCCAAGGCUCAUGUAAGGGAAUUGUCAAAAAGGAGUGAACUGGAUUGGAAGGAGCUGCAAUACCUAAGGAUGGGUUGGAGACUGCGAGGUCGACAAGGACGCCUAUCAAAGCAUGUUUCUUCUGUCAUAAGCUUUUAUUUUACUUCGUCAUGAAGCUGUGAAAAAAGCCAUCUCGGUAUGAGCUUUCGAGAUUUAAACCAACCAUUUUCAUGAAUAAAUUAGUUGCUUCAGUUCUGUUGGGCCGUAUCAUAUAACAAAGAACAGAACAAAAUAGAAGUUUCUCUACCAAUGUUGUAAUUGUCUUGAGUAAAUGGAAGUUAAGAUAAAUGAGAAUCCUUGAGGCAAACACAAAUUAAAAAAUCAGCCACCGCAAUCCUCAAUGUCCGUUGUUCCUCUCUCUAUGGCCAGGCAUUAAAACCAAAACAGCCUAACCAGCCCACAUUAAAGCAAAAAUGGAAAACACGACAUCCUCUAUUGUAGAAUUAAGAAAAAUAUGCUCUCCGGGGAUAGAUUGGUUCACCUUGAGGUACAGAAUAAUUCGAACUCCUACAAAACAUUACAUUGUUUGCUUUAGUAUAUGACCCGUUCAAUCUGAAAAGUAUUCAAAAUUUUCAUCCAAAUCCUUGCAAUUCUUCCUACUGUGUUGAGCUUGUAACAGUGAUAUUAGUAUAAGAAUUUUAUUCUCUUUCUCUAGCUAGAAAUCUCCAAUCUGAAGUUUCAAGACACUGAUCAAAGUAUAUUAUGUCAGAAAAGAAACUCAUUCCACUAUGGAUAUAAUUAUUUGGCUCACACUUGUGAAUCAAGCAAGGAAGGAAGCGAACCUGAUGGUGUUGGUGUAUUGCGGCUCAGGCCAGUGUGCUCGACUUGCCGCUGCGUGUUGUUGGCUUCGCGCCACAAGACUCACCAUGUCCUGACCAGUGCAACACAUAUAAGAUCACCCUCAUAACCCAAGAGAAGUAGGGAAGUAUGUAACUAACAAAAAAACAGAUGUAGCAAGUGCAAGGUAGGCUUAGUGGUGCUUAGAGCUUACUUCAACUUUAUACCAAAGGAUGUACACCGGUCAUCUUCCUCGCUGGUCCCAGACAUUGCCGCAUGCCACCCUUCGAGAAGACAGUAGAGGGAUGAUUCUUCAACUGAAGAUGAAGAAAUGAAGGAAGAGCAAAAAUUUACCUGAGCAUUGGACCGGCGUCAUUCAUGGAUGGAGCUUGGAGGAACCCUCUUCUCCACUUCUCUCGAUCCACUGCCGCUAUUACUGCCUCGCACCAUGCAUCCGAGCCUACAUAAGGAAAAUGGCCCUCAACACCUGAACAACACACGGGGCGCAAAACUGGGCAUACAGAAAAAGGUGCAUCAAUCAAAUAUCGGCAGAGAUGCAUAGCAGGAAAUGCACAUACAACUUCAUGGUUUUUUAUGGAUGAAAAUACCAACAUCUAGACCUAAACAUCACCCAAGGAUUAUACAUUUCAAAAUAUAGAGCAGAGAGGCUAUCAACAGUUGUAUUCUAAAUCUCUUGACAUCACAAUUCGUGCAAGAAAAAUGGACAAAAUAAGACACUGCAAGCAAAUGUGCACCAAAUUAUGAGCAAAGAAACUGAUAAUUAGAGCAGAUUACUCCGCUUGCCCUUCUCACCGGCCUGCUCCUUCCCCCUG
RNAcentral lists this long non-coding RNA (3687 nucleotides) under Triticum aestivum (bread wheat). RNAcentral's name for it is "long non-coding RNA (TAES_LNC028164)". The record is from RNAcentral. Lineage: Eukaryota; Viridiplantae; Streptophyta; Magnoliopsida; Poales; Poaceae.